CCUACGGGGGGCAGCAGUGAGGAAUAUUGGUCAAUGGACGAGAGUCUGAACCAGCCAAGUAGCGUGAAGGAUGACUGCCCUAUGGGUUGUAAACUUCUUUUAUAUGGGAAUAAAAUGGUCCACGUGUGGGAUUUUGUAUGUACCAUAUGAAUAAGGAUCGGCUAACUCCGUGCCAGCAGCCGCGGUAAUACGGAGGAUCCGAGCGUUAUCCGGAUUUAUUGGGUUUAAAGGGAGCGUAGGUGGAUUGUUAAGUCAGUUGUGAAAGUUUGCGGCUCAACCGUAAAAUUGCAGUUGAAACUGGCAGUCUUGAGUACAGUAGAGGUGGGCGGAAUUCGUGGUGUAGCGGUGAAAUGCUUAGAUAUCACGAAGAACUCCGAUUGCGAAGGCAGUUCACUGGACUGCAACUGACACUGAGGCUCGAAAGUGUGGGUAUCAAACAGGAUUAGAUACCCCAGUAGUC
RNAcentral lists this ribosomal RNA (460 nucleotides) under uncultured bacterium. RNAcentral describes it as "partial 16S ribosomal RNA". It matches the Rfam family "Bacterial small subunit ribosomal RNA", at positions 338 to 795 of the family's 1533-position model. The record is from RNAcentral.